GCUCAGUUGGUAGAGUACAAAGCUCUUAAGCUUGUGGACGUGGGUUCGAGCCCCAU
Triticum aestivum (bread wheat) is the source of this 56-nucleotide non-coding RNA. The record is from Rfam. NCBI's taxonomy places the organism in Eukaryota, Viridiplantae, Streptophyta, Magnoliopsida, Poales, Poaceae.